GCAGGUGGGGACAUGCCAUCACAUGCAUGGGGAGCAGGUGGAGACAUGCCAUCACAUGCAUGGGGAGCAGGUGGGGACAUGCCAUCACAUACAUGGGGAGCAGGUGAGGACAUGCCACAUGCAUGGGGAGCAGGUGAGGACAUGCCAUCACAUGCAUGGGGAGCAGGUGAGGACAUGCCACAUGCAUGGGGAGCAGGUGAGGACAUGCCAUCACAUGCAUGGGGAGCAGGUGGAGACAUGACAUCACAUGCAUGGGGAGCAGGUGAGGACAUACCAUCACAUGCAUGGGGAGCAGGUGGGGGCAUGUCAUAUGCAUGGGGAGCAGGUGGGGACAUGCCAUCACAUGCAUGGGGAGCAGGUGAGGACAUGCCAUCACAUGCAUGGGGAGCAGGUGGGGGCAUGUCAUAUGCAUGGGGAGCAGGUGGGGACAUGCCAUCACAUGCAUGGGGAGCAGGUGAGGACAUGCCAUCACAUGCAUGGGGAGCAGGUGAGGACAUGCCAUCACAUGCAUGGGGAGCAGGUGAGGACAUGCCAUCACAUGCAUGGGGAGCAGGUGAGGACAUGCCAUCACAUGCAUGGGGAGCAGGUGGGGACAUGCCAUCACAUGCAUGGGGAGCAGGUGGGGACAUGCCAUCACAUGCAUGGGGAGCAGGUGGGGACAUGACAUCAUCUUGUCAUCAUAGCAUCUGACUGAUAGCAUGAGUCCUAUAUGCUAAGCUAUGGCUGUGCUGCACAACCAUGCAAGCACCUGAGGAUGUAGGGUGUGUUACCCACCCAUGUUACAGAUGAGAAUCUAAGCCACAGAAAGGUUAACAGCCUACCAGUUGAUCCAUCUGAGAACAUAGCCCUACUCUCUGGUAACCAGAAGCCACCUUUUCUCCUGUCCUUCCUCUCCUAUCCUUUGUACCGUGAUUUGGUGCAUAGUUUGGAGCCUCCACUCCCCUGAAGCUCGUGAAUUGAGCUGCUUGUGACACCGGGGCAAGAGCAUGGCCCAAGAGGCCCUAAAAGCUCAGCGCCAGCUCUCAGAAUAAGCUUGCAGCUUCUCAGACCUGCCGGGCGCUUCCUCCAUCAGACUGAAGUAACACUUGCUGGGGAGAAUCAGAUG
This is a long non-coding RNA of Apodemus sylvaticus (European woodmouse), 1105 nucleotides long. RefSeq lists it as uncharacterized. The transcript is spliced from 3 exons. The record is from RefSeq and is a predicted model, not a curated record. Lineage: Eukaryota; Metazoa; Chordata; Mammalia; Rodentia; Muridae.